GAUGAACGCUGGCGGCGUGCCUAAUACAUGCAAGUCGAGCGAACGGACGAGAAGCUUGCUUCUCUGAUGUUAGCGGCGGACGGGUGAGUAACACGUGGAUAACCUACCUAUAAGACUGGGAUAACUUCGGGAAACCGGAGCUAAUACCGGAUGAUAUUUUGAACCGCAUGGUUCAAAAGUGAAAGACGGUCUUGCUGUCACUUAUAGAUGGAUCCGCGCUGCAUUAGCUAGUUGGUAAGGUAACGGCUUACCAAGGCAACGAUGCAUAGCCGACCUGAGAGGGUGAUCCGCCACACUGGAACUUAGACACGGUCCAGACUCCUACGGGAGGCAGCCGUAGGGCAUCUUCCGCGAUGGGCGAAAGCCUGACGGAGCACCGCCGCGUGAGUUAUGAAGGUCUUCGGAUCGUAAAACUCUGUUAUUAGGGAAGAACAUAUGUGUAAGUAACUGUGCACAUCUUGACGGUCCCUAAUCAGAAAGCCACGGCUCACUACGUG
This 497-nucleotide ribosomal RNA is filed under the name uncultured bacterium. RNAcentral's name for it is "partial 16S ribosomal RNA". It matches the Rfam family "Bacterial small subunit ribosomal RNA", at positions 28 to 507 of the family's 1533-position model. The record is from RNAcentral.